ACCCAGUUGUGUGUUUUAGGAGAGCAAACAUGCAACAAUUGGAAUUUGAAAAUCCUGCUCUACCUACUGGAGCUUUUUUCUUACACUCUCAUCCAGUUAGUGUGAUAUCAGUGGAGUCCAUGUGAUGUUAAAUCUGUGUGGUCCAACAAACUGCUUGCACAGGGGAGAUUGGAAUGUUCAUUGACGCGAGUCAACACCGUCUCUCUCUCUGUCUCUACUUAAUUACACAAGGUUUUAAUUGAAUUUCCAAAUCCCAGCUCUGCCAUGUGAGCUCAUGGUUAUUAAUGAUCUCAUCGAUUCUCUCUGGAGAGAGAAAGGGAAUACCUAACUGCUUCUCAAAUGAAAAGCUUGCAAGUUGGAGUGCAGCUCUGUUUUUAAUCCUGCUGCAUUAGUAAGAUGUCUCUGCAUAUUAAGAAUUCAGCCACAUUGACACCUCUCAGGUUUUCCCAGACUGCCGCACAUACAGCUUCAUUAAGGAGAAAGCUAUAAAGGUUGCACUCACGUUGGAUGGCACGGAAACGUGGACCGAUGGAAGGAGAACCCAAAUCUGGGGAAUUCCGUCUCUUCUCCAACCCAGGAGAAGCCUGCACUGUGAUUUUAUGGAUAAAAUCUAAGGGACAAAAUACAUUCAAUAUUACUGUUUA
Pangasianodon hypophthalmus (striped catfish) is the source of this 644-nucleotide long non-coding RNA. RefSeq lists it as uncharacterized. NCBI's taxonomy places the organism in Eukaryota, Metazoa, Chordata, Actinopteri, Siluriformes, Pangasiidae. The transcript has 3 exons. The record is from RefSeq and is a predicted model, not a curated record.